CCAAUAGCGUAUAUUAAAGUUGUUGCAGUUAAAAAGCUCGUAGUUGAAUUUUAGGCCUGGCCGGAUGGUCCGUCUUUGGCGAGUACUGUUCUGUCGUCGGGUCUAUCCUUCUGGUGAGCCGGUAUGCCCUUUAUUGGGUGUGUCGGGGAACCAGGACCAUUACCUUGAAAAAAUUAGAGUGUUUAAAGCGGGCAUUUGCUUGAAUAGAUUAGCAUGGAAUAAUAGAAUAGGACGUUGGUUCUAUUUUGUUGGUUUUAGGACCACCGUAAUGAUUAAUAGGGAUAGUGGGGGGCAUUAGUAUUCAAUGGUCAGAGGUGAAAUUCUUGGAUUUAUUGAAGACUAACUAUUGCGAAAGCAUUUGCCAAGGAUGUUUUCAUUAAUCAAGAACGAAAGUUAGGGGAUCGAAGUCGAUCAGAUACCGUCGUAGUCUUAACCAUAAACUAUGCCGACUAGGAAUCGGGCGACGUUAUUUCAUGACUCGCUCGGCGCCUUAUG
Molecule: ribosomal RNA, 495 nt
Filed under: uncultured Glomeromycotina
Lineage: Eukaryota; Fungi; Glomeromycota
Description: partial small subunit ribosomal RNA
Rfam family: Eukaryotic small subunit ribosomal RNA
Source: RNAcentral